AAUUGAUGAGGUGGCAACUAAG
This 22-nucleotide small nuclear RNA is filed under the name Arabidopsis thaliana (thale cress). RNAcentral describes it as "snRNA_13909". Lineage: Eukaryota; Viridiplantae; Streptophyta; Magnoliopsida; Brassicales; Brassicaceae. The record is from RNAcentral.